Molecule: long non-coding RNA, 208 nt
Organism: Athene cunicularia (burrowing owl)
Lineage: Eukaryota; Metazoa; Chordata; Aves; Strigiformes; Strigidae
Exons: 3
Source: RefSeq, a predicted model, not a curated record
GGUCAGAGAGUGGAAUAGGCUGCCCAGGGAGGGGGUGGAGUCACCAUCCCUGGAUGUGUUUAAGGGUCGUUUGGAUGAGCUGUUGGGGGAUGUGGGGUAGGGAAGAACUUUGUAGAGCAGGGCUGAUAGUUGGACUCGAUGAUCCCAAGGGUCUUUUCCAACCGGAAUGAUUCUGUGAUUCUUGAUUCCCCGCUGGGUGCAAAGCCAC